GCCUCGACGGCAGCUCGGACCGGUCCGUGCCCGCCUGCUCUGCCCCCUCCGCCGCAGCUGGUGCCCGGGCACUGCUCCGAGUCCCGGUGGGCUCCUGCCUCCAGCCCGCCGGCCCUGCGGGGCAGCACCGGGCCGGUACCUGCCGCUGGCUGCGUCCGUUGGGCACCGUGCGGCCUCCGGAGCUCCUGGCCUCGCACCUCGCCUCGUGCCUUACGCCCGUGUAGGGGUGAAAGUUAACACAGGUGUCCUAAACCAAAACAUACUAAAAGAGUGUGCAUCUACAGAACGAAAUUUACUGUGUACUUGAAUAGUCAAAGUGUAGCUGGUAUUGUGAAGUGCAGGGCCUUCCUAAGGACCUUCCAGACUUGUCCUGGACACUCAGUAGUGGGUGAGGCCUGCAUUUGUUCCCCAAUCAGUUGCCUUUGUUUGGGUUUUUUUUUACAAGCCUUGCUCCCAAAGGUGGUUGAUGUUUUUUUUUCAGAAGCCCAGUGUCUUUCUGGGUACGUCUCCAUCCCUGUUCUGUCAGAGCACAGGUAUGAAGUUACUCUCAGCAUGUGGAGGUUUAGCAGCUGCUUUGAGCUUCACAGACAUAGAAUAUUUUUCUAGGUUUAGGAAUUCACAGUUCAGUCUCCUCCAUCUGACAUGAAAUUCUGUGAUAGCAAACAGCUCGAUGCCUGGCACCAGCACUAGGGUGAAAGGCAUUUUCCGCUUCUGACAGGAAAACUAUGAGGGGUGGAAAAAUCACUGCUUGAUCUUCUUGCCCCUACCAUUUUAAGGGUGUACAGAUGGUAAAAUAAGGCCAGCAUGCAUUUUUCAUUAUUAAGAGCAGCUCAACUGAAAAUACUACUUAAUGUUUACAGUCGUGUACUCCAUCUUCUUUAUCACAAAAUCACUGUUUCCUGACAGUAAAUAUAUCUUCCCCUGGCAAUGUGUCUUUCUAUUCUAUGUGUGUACCCAUACUGUGGGAAUUGUGGUGUUAAAGCACCUGUUGGAGCUCUGCUGCAACACCACAGCUAGACGGGCCCAAACUGCAGAACCGGGAAAUGAACAGAUUUAUUUUGUUUUAAAGUAGGUGGGGUAAAAUUCAGAUUGUGUUUUUCUUAGCAACUAGUGUCAUAGUAGCAGCCAGUCGUCCUUAUAAGGUAGAUCCAGUACAAAUAUCCAGCCUGCCUUUUCCCAGGAUAAUUAACAACUUUAACAGAAAGAGCUGGGAAAGUAGAUUAGGCAAAAGCUUUGGGCCAGGAAGAGGUGUAGUGACUUACAGAAGCAAGUGCAGGAAGCCUGCUACAGGUCAGUAAUUGCAGCUCAUCCUGUUAUGCCUUAAAAAUCACUGCCAUAAAUAGGAUUAUUUUCACAUUGUGAUGCUAUAGGUUCAUUUGGGUUUAUGAAUGGAAAAUUAUCCCUAAAGAACAAU
This is a long non-coding RNA of Pezoporus flaviventris, 1414 nucleotides long. RefSeq lists it as uncharacterized. The transcript has 3 exons. The record is from RefSeq and is a predicted model, not a curated record. NCBI's taxonomy places the organism in Eukaryota, Metazoa, Chordata, Aves, Psittaciformes, Psittacidae.